Molecule: transfer RNA, 73 nt
Filed under: Dipodomys ordii (Ord's kangaroo rat)
Lineage: Eukaryota; Metazoa; Chordata; Mammalia; Rodentia; Heteromyidae
Rfam family: tRNA
About the family: Transfer RNA (tRNA) molecules are approximately 80 nucleotides in length. Their secondary structure includes four short double-helical elements and three loops (D, anti-codon, and T loops). Further hydrogen bonds mediate the characteristic L-shaped molecular structure. tRNAs have two regions of fundamental functional importance: the anti-codon, which is responsible for specific mRNA codon recognition, and the 3' end, to which the tRNAs corresponding amino acid is attached (by aminoacyl-tRNA synthetases). tRNAs cope with the degeneracy of the genetic code in two manners: having more than one tRNA (with a specific anti-codon) for a particular amino acid; and 'wobble' base-pairing, i.e. permitting non-standard base-pairing at the 3rd anti-codon position.
Source: Rfam by way of RNAcentral
GGGGGUAUGGCCCAACUAGUACAGUGCUUGCUUCCCAAGCAAGAGGCCCUGAGUUCAACCCCCAGUACCACCA